Molecule: ribosomal RNA, 654 nt
Filed under: Coleosporium solidaginis
Lineage: Eukaryota; Fungi; Basidiomycota; Pucciniomycetes; Pucciniales; Coleosporiaceae
Description: eukaryotic LSU rRNA
Rfam family: Eukaryotic large subunit ribosomal RNA
Source: RNAcentral
CAGGUGGGACUACCCGCUGAACUUAAGCAUAUCAAUAAGCGGAGGAAAAGAAACUAACAAGGAUUCCCCUAGUAACGGCGAGUGAAGAGGGAAAAGCCCAAAUUUGUAAUCUGGCUCUUUUACAGGAGUCCGAGUUGUAAUUUUGAGAACUGUUUUCUGUGCUGGACCAUGUACAAGUCUGUUGGAAAACAGCAUCAUUGAGGGUGAUAAUCCCGUAGAUGACAUGGACUACCAGUGCAAUAYGAUACAGUCUCUAAGAGUCGAGUUGUUUGGGAAUGCAGCUCAAAGUGGGUGGUAAAUUCCAUCUAAGGCUAAAUAUAGGUGAGAGACCGAUAGCAAACAAGUACCGUGAGGGAAAGAUGAAAAGAACUUUGGAAAGAGAGUUAACAGUACGUGAAAUUGUUAAAAGGGAAACAUUUGAAGUUAGACUUGUUAUUAUUGGUUCAGCUUCUCUUUUUUAAUUAGGAGUUUAUUCCAAUGRUUGACAGACCAGCAUCAAUUUUUGAGUGUUAGAUAAGGGUCUUGGAGAAUGUGGCAACUUUGGUUGUGUUAUAGCUCCUGGCUUGAUAUAAUGCUUAAGAUUGAGGAACGCAGUGAGCUUUAAAUUUUUUGAAGUGGAUUCUUUUGAAUCUUCAUCACUACGGAUGUUGGUGU